RNAcentral lists this non-coding RNA (24 nucleotides) under Arabidopsis thaliana (thale cress). The record is from RNAcentral. Lineage: Eukaryota; Viridiplantae; Streptophyta; Magnoliopsida; Brassicales; Brassicaceae.
UACAUGGUAUUAGAGUCUCUGUAU